Long non-coding RNA from Acanthaster planci (crown-of-thorns starfish), 1179 nucleotides. The record is from RefSeq and is a predicted model, not a curated record. Lineage: Eukaryota; Metazoa; Echinodermata; Asteroidea; Valvatida; Acanthasteridae.
GUAGGUGAUCAACUGAUAACAUUCAGAUAUCUCAACAGAAUGAAAAACAAAAGACUAAUGAAAGCCAUCUAAAGAUGUUCCUGAAAAUGUUCCGAAUAAAGAACGAAGUAUUGAAUCAACAUGAUUUUUAUCAGUCUUUCUGGAUUCUCAUAUUGAGUUGCCCAGUGGAAUAAACAGAGAAUAACUAGUUUGCAAUGGUUCAGUUUCUUCACACAAUACACUGUCCGGUUCUAAAAAUGGAAGCGCAUGCAGGCAUACAUUUUUGGGGAGCCGAUUAUUCAAUAUCCUUGCCUUAGAGCUAAUUUAAUAAGUGUGCACUACUCUAUUUCGUUUUGCUGCGGCUUCCACCAGGCAGUUUGCAAAUUUUCCCCACUGCACUGUUCUUUCUUUUUCCUUACUAUUGCUGACUUUAUGUUUUAAUAUUCAGGUGCUUGACAAACCCAGCCACCGCCUUGAAGGUCAGUGCAGUGGUAAAUCACGAAACAACAUGCUGUCACAGCGCUCGUAAAACCCUGUGGUCAUCCCGCUGUUUAUGUGCUUGUAAUUCUGGAUCGUAAAGGCCACUGUGGGUGUGGAGCAGGUGUGUCAACCAGGUCUUCACAUAAGCCUGGCCAUUUUUCUAAAGUAUUAUGUCGGUUUGCAAAAUGCCCGUCAUGAGCUUGAUGCCAAGCUAAGCAAAACUUUGGCAAUGUCUGGAGAGCUACAUGUACAAGAAGAGAAGAACCCGGAGAAGAAAUUUGGAGAAUACACAGCUGACAUAAGAAAUGCCCUUGCACUAGAGGAGGAAGCAGAUGCCUGGAAAGCAAAUGGGGCAGCGCUAGAAGUCCAACUGUCAGCUCUGGUGCUUCAAACAACAAGCGCAAGUGAUAACAUGGUCACAGUGAUGCUGCUGUCAGAUGCUGUACAGGAGAACUUGGCCAAACAUAAGGAAAAGAAAUCAGCUGCAGCAUCUCUGAGGAAGAGCACCACCCUGCAGUGCGGCUGAGGACCCCUGACUUCUCAGCUGCACAAGACUCUGCAGGAAAUGGGAGUUCAUCGCCGGGCAGGCAUAUCAUGGAAAUGCAUUCGUUGAGAACCACGUGCACAAAUGUUGCCAGGAGGACAAUAUCAGAAAACCGACAUCCUCCAUUGUCCGGAAAACUGAGGAGUUGUACCCAGCUUCGCCUUCCAAGAUGCACA